GGGAGGGUGGGGCGGAGUCGGUGGUGGUUUGGCGCGUUACCCUGCUAAAGUAACAGGCCUGGUGAUGUAAUGAGCUUUGUUUGGGCAGGGCGUUCCGCACGUCCAGGAGAAGACGCCCUAAUUCUGGCUCACCUAGAGGUCUCCUAGCUACCGUCUCGUCAGCAGACGACCUUUACCCAGGCUCUGUCAUACUAACACUGCUGGCGCCAACAGCAUCCCAGAGGCACAGCCUGGAACCAGGAGUUAGACGAGUUGGGCACUUGCUCGUGACCUUGUUCUAGUUCCACCUCUACUGUGUUACUUUCAGUCAUCUUCUAGCUCUCCGCUUGUUGGACGCCCCAAGAAUGGGGAAGGUGCUGCAUUUGCGGUAGAGACAAUUAUAUCUCUGGCCCCUUACCUGUCGGCAACUUUUCUGCCAGCGCCCUCCUCCCCCUCACGUUCGUGUGCAGAAAGAACAUGGAAGGUGUGUUGGCACCAUCUAAGAAGAAACAUGUUUAGAUGAUUAGAGAAUUCUUGGAAAUCUAGAGGAUUUGCAUCCCUUCUGACCUAGACAGAAAAGCCUGCGUGGCAGAGCCACCACCGAUUCAGCAAGACAAAUAGUGAAGACUCGCUCGCGCCCCCGCAGCUCUUUGGCUUAGCUGCUGAAGACUGACGAGGCCCAGGGCCCCCGGCCCCAUCUGCCAUCACUGCAUUGGAGCCCAGGGUAACACUACUAGUAGCAGCGAAGGUACAAGGGAUGACCACUUCUAAUGAUAAGAGAGCUCUGGUUCUUUCUGACCUCUACUCUCAUAAUCAGGCAGUAGCAAAAGUGCUCUGAGGAAACCUGACAUUAUACAUGUGGUGCAAUUUCAUGGCCUAAAGUGACCUGAGUGUGGCCUGGCUGGAGAGGAUAUGAUACAUUGGUGAUGGUUAACUUCAUUGAAGAGCAUAGGUACUGAAUAUUGGGACAAGAUUGCAACUGAACUAGACAGGAGCGAGUGCUUGGAGUUGGAUGCAGCAAAGUUGGAAACUGCUUUCUUUGGGCCUCUGCUUUUGGGGAGGUGAGUGUAUUUUCUUUUUUUUUUUUUUUUUUAAGAUGGGUUUCACCAUGAUGGCCAGGCUGGUCUUGAACUCCUGACCUCAGGUGAUCCACCCACCUCGGCCUCCCAAAGUGCUAGGAUUACAGGCGUGAGCCACCGCGCCCAGCCAUGUAUUUUCAUUUGUACGAAAAUUGUUGCAGUUUCUUACACUGUAGCAAUGGUUCUCCAACUUUGCUGCAUGUUGGAAUUACCUGAAGUAGUUUGUUAAAAAUGCAGAUUCUGUUUCAGUAAAUCUGGGGUGGAGGCUGAGAUGUAGCACUUAUCAUUUCCUAGGUGAUGCUGAUGCUGCUGGCCCAGGAGCCACGUGUCAAAUAGAAAAGCAUGUUAUUGUUGCUGCUGUUGUUUAGAGUGACAGUCCAAUGGCACUCAUGACUACCAUCUUUACAAUACGCUCUCUACAUUUUGCUAGUUUUCCACAUUUGGAACACCCCAUUUCCCAGCCUUCUUAGCAGCCAGGGUGCAAAUGUGUCCUAAGUUCUGCCAAGCAUCCACUUCUGCACUAGACUUUGAUUUGACUGUGAGGAGCCUGAGAACACCAGCUUCAUGAGGGGCAUUUAGACUGCCAGUAACGUGGCAGUAGAGGUAUCCAGUUAAGAGGCACUUCCUCCCUGAUAAGGCCAGUCCCGGGAGUGAGUCUGGCCACUAUUCCUGGAUGCCAAGCAAUGAGCCUGUUUCUCUAGGCACCCCGCAGUUCUGUGAGCUAAUCUGAUAUCCUCUCAUAAUCCUGUUCUUAAACUAGCCAGGGGGAAUUCUGUUUGAAACACAAAAAUCUUAACACAUACAAAUAACUGUGUACUUAAGUUUAAAAAGAACAAAAGUAGUUUUAUGGAACAAAUGAACUUUAAAAAAAGCAAAUCAUUUAAUUUAAAUGAGAUUUUCAUAAAGCACUUAGCACAAUGUGUGGCAUAUGGUGGUACUUGAUAAAUGCUGUUGUUUUAAAAGGAGAUUGUUUUAUUAUUUUUAUGGAAAUGACACACCCUCACGAAAAUUUGAGUAAUUAUAGAAAAAUAUACCCAAAUACCACCUUGUAGAACAUGAUUCUAGAUAUCUUUGCCUAAAAAUAGACGUAAGAAAGUAAUAAUAAAGAGAUGGAUGGCUGUAAUCAGAACUAAAAU
Molecule: long non-coding RNA, 2194 nt
Organism: Callithrix jacchus (white-tufted-ear marmoset)
Lineage: Eukaryota; Metazoa; Chordata; Mammalia; Primates; Cebidae
Source: RefSeq, a predicted model, not a curated record